Molecule: ribosomal RNA, 253 nt
Filed under: uncultured bacterium
Lineage: Bacteria
Description: partial 16S ribosomal RNA
Rfam family: Bacterial small subunit ribosomal RNA
Source: RNAcentral
UACGUAGGGUGCGAGCGUUGUUCGGAUUUAUUGGGCGUAAAGGGCGCGUAGGCGGGAUGGCAAGUCGGUCGUGAAAUCCUUCGGCUCAACCGAAGAACGUCGGCCGAUACUGCCGUUCUUGAGGGAUGCAGAGGAGAUUGGAAUUCCCGGUGUAGCGGUGAAAUGUGUAGAGAUCGGGAGGAACACCGGUGGCGAAGGCGGGUCUCUGGGCAUCUCCUGACGCUGAGGCGCGAAAGCGUGGGGAGCAAACGGG